This 253-nucleotide ribosomal RNA is filed under the name uncultured bacterium. RNAcentral's name for it is "partial 16S ribosomal RNA". It matches the Rfam family "Bacterial small subunit ribosomal RNA", at positions 524 to 776 of the family's 1533-position model. The record is from RNAcentral.
UACGUAGGGCGCAAGCGUUGUCCGGAAUUAUUGGGCGUAAAGAGCUCGUAGGCGGCCAGUUGCGUCCGCUGUGAAAUCCCGGGGCUUAACCCCGGGCGUGCAGUGGAUACGGGCUGGCUAGAGGCAGGCAGGGGAGAACGGAAUUCCCGGUGUAGCGGUGAAAUGCGCAGAUAUCGGGAGGAACACCUGUGGCGAAAGCGGCUCACUGGACCACAACUGACGCUGAUGCACGAAAGCUAGGGGAGCAAACAGG